Molecule: ribosomal RNA, 253 nt
Filed under: uncultured bacterium
Lineage: Bacteria
Description: partial 16S ribosomal RNA
Rfam family: Bacterial small subunit ribosomal RNA
Source: RNAcentral
UACGGGGGGGGCAAGCGUUGUUCGGAAUUACUGGGCGUAAAGGGCUCGUAGGUGGCCAACUAAGUCAGACGUGAAAUCCCUCAGCUUAACUGGGGAACUGCCUUCGAUACUGCGGGUCUCGAGUCCGGGAGAGGUGAGUGGAAUUCCUGGUGUAGCGGUGGAAUGCGCAGAUAUCAGGAGGAACACCAAUAGCGAAGGCAGCUCGCUGGGACGCUACUGACACUGAGGCGCGAAAGCGUGGGGAGCGAACAGG